CAGUAGCCGCGGGAAUACGGAGGAUCCGAGCGUUAUCCGGAAUUAUUGGGUUUAAAGGGUGCGUAGGCGGAUAGAUAAGUCAGUGGUGAAAGACGGUGGCUCAACCAUCGCAGUGCCGUUGAUACUGUUUAUCUUGAAUAUGGAUGAGGUAGGCGGAAUGUGGCAAGUAGCGGUGAAAUGCAUAGAUAUGCCACAGAACACCGAUUGCGAAGGCAGCUUACCAAGGCAAAAUUGACGCUGAGGCGCGAAAGCGUGGGGAUCGAACAGGAUUAGAUACCCGAGUAGUCCCUGUCUCUUAUAC
Molecule: ribosomal RNA, 301 nt
Filed under: uncultured bacterium
Lineage: Bacteria
Description: partial 16S ribosomal RNA
Rfam family: Bacterial small subunit ribosomal RNA
Source: RNAcentral